RNAcentral lists this transfer RNA (70 nucleotides) under Florometra sp. BMK-2020. RNAcentral's name for it is "tRNA-Ala". Lineage: Eukaryota; Metazoa; Echinodermata; Crinoidea; Comatulida; Antedonidae. The record is from RNAcentral.
GUGAAAGUAAUUUAAAUAAAAUAUUUGUUUUGCAAACAUAAAAUCUAGACCUAAAAAUCUAGCUUUUACA